Sander lucioperca (pikeperch) is the source of this 3886-nucleotide RNA transcript. It is a transcript of the gene named chromosome 24 C7orf57 homolog, with no coding region annotated. The record is from RefSeq and is a predicted model, not a curated record. The transcript is spliced from 9 exons. Lineage: Eukaryota; Metazoa; Chordata; Actinopteri; Perciformes; Percidae.
GAUCUUUUUUUGGCGUACAGGAAGUGUGUGUGGCCGUGUCCAGCCUUCGCCCAGCCUUCGCCCGCAGAAUAGAAGGAGCUAACAGCAUCUAAUUGCAGCAAGCCGCUCAGUAAUUGCAACGAAGGAAAAAAAACAUAUAACAUUGUCUAAUGUCUUCAGGUGAUAUGAAUACCGCUGUACCCAACCAUCGAAGGACCAAGCCCGGCGGUAUAAAGACUGGGGUUGUGGCCAGCGGCAUGUCUGGACCGACCUCCCAGAUCCCCGGUCUGUCCCAAACGGCAGACGAAACCUCUCCAGUGGAACGGACCACCGGCCGGCGAGUUGGGAUCUUUGAGUCGGACUCGGAGUAUGUGAAGCUCGCAAAGGGAGGUGGACACAAAGGGCUGCUGAGUCAUGAUGCUGACGCUGAUGACAAACCCAUGAAGCCUGCCUACAAUCCACCCAACUGGUUUGGUGAUGAAUUAAAGAGCGGGAGCAAACCAACAUCUCCCGACAGCAAGAUGAUGGGGGGCAUGCAGCCCCUGGCUGCACCGUUUGGCACCGAUAACGGUUCGUCCUGGGAAAGAGAUGGUAGAUUCUCCCCCAAUAAGGAGAAGAUGUCUCCUGAUGAAGUCGCCGAUGAGCUUGGCGGUCUGUCCAUGACCAGCAAAUACAAGCGAACGUGUUAUGAGAAGAAGGCUCCUCCGGUCAGCAUGUCCAAGCUGCUGAGUCAUGGCUAUGUCGAGGACAAGAAGAAGUCUCCUAAUGACGACGAUGCCUCAAGCGUGACCUCAGAUCAGACCAGCACCGUUGGGACGGAGGACAAUGGCGACGACCUGGAGUAGUGCAUACAGGUUCUGGUCUCGAGGGAAACAGGGUGUCGUCCUAACACUGGUUUAUGGUUUCCACAGAUCCACGAACACACCGCUCCGCCCCUCUCGGUUUCACUCGCAUCUAUUGUACAUCCACUGACUGUUAGGUUUUGUACUCAUGUUUAUGCAAAGGUACUGCUCUCUUUUUAUUUAUUUGCUUUCAUUUGUAAAAAAAAAGUAGAUUGAGUAGAUUGUGUCCGUCGUGCUCGCGGUAUUUCUUAUCUGUGUUGUCGUUUCUCGAUUUGAAAGACGAGUUGUGCACAGGGCAGGAAACUAACGAAUGUUGGGUCCAAAGGGUUGAGUGGUGUUAGUUUCCUUCCCUGGUUGUAUGAAGAUCGAGCUAGUGAAGUUCUAAAAUGUUAGUGCUAAUGAAAUGUGGUUCUAGUGACGUGAAAUAUUAUUUGUUUCGAUCGAGGGUUCCUGCUCUCUGAAGGGAUGUUAAGAGUUUGUUUUUUUUUGUGUGUGUUUUCGACUGCGGGGGUGGAAACGAUCAUUGGUUGAGACAGCCACCCUGCAGCUGUGACCACAUGCCAAAGUGCGUACUGAUGGCCACAGCCGCUGUGCUUUGUUUGGUUAAAGGGGCCAAAGAUGAUUUUUUUUUCUUUUUUUUGGGUAAGGUUGCUGCUCUGCAAAAGGUUGCCCUUCUCUACUAUACCACCCACAAUUCUGUUGUUUUUGACUCCGUAAAAAAACCUAACAUGCCUUGUUUUAGUGUGUAUUUUUAUGAAAGCUUUUACUCCGAAUUAUCAGAAUAAAAGCCCAUUCAGAAGAAAAAUGCCUCGUGUUGAAACACUAAAUUAACUCGUGAUGUUUGCACGGCUAUUUUGAACACUAUCAGGUGCUGCAAGAUCAAUUUCCUCGCCAACUGUUUAUUGGGAAGCUCACCAGUAAACCGCUAACAAUGCCAAGUGUUUUUGAUGGCAGUCCAAGUAUCUCAGAAGCGUGCUAAUGAUAUAAUUGAAUUGGGUCAACUCUAGAUGUUGAAGCUCUCCAGUGUUAUCUUAAUCUCAUUCAGCCCCGUAAAACCCGAAACUCGUGCAACUACCAAUAAGUAUACUGGGAAAUUUCAGGGGAAUCGGCCACCUUUAGCAGACUUGCCAAGCUGAAAGUCCAGUCCACUGUAUUUCCCUGUGAAGAUUAAGGCGUAAUUUACGCUGCUGCGUUCAAUCUACGGCAUAGGUUACGGCGAAAGCUCUGCGUGGAGCCUCCGCAGAACCAGGAGUCACGCUUAAGGGGGACAAGUUUUAAUAAAAGUGAGUUCUGAACGUGCCAACCGAGCAGUUUUUGGUUUUUGGUCUGCUCAUGCAGUGUUUUGACUUUGUAGGCAUCAGUAGGAGAACUUUGUGUUAGUGCACAGCCCGAUCACACCAAACCCUCCACUAAUGUCGUGUUCAUCUAUCUGAUAGGAGUUUAUUCCGUCGAGAUGGGAGAAAUGGUUACUGCGACAACAUUUUUGCACAUGAAAACUUUUUUGAAGCGGUGGAAAAGGUCUGUCUCGAAUAAAAGUCUGCCAACCAGAGACAAGGAUGCCCCCUACAUCUGCGAUAUUCAUUCUUUAAAAACAAAACACUGACAUUUUACUCUGUAACAUAAUCUAAAUUCAUAUUAAAAGUUCAUUUUUUAUUAGUAGCAAUCCCUCUCCGUAUUGCUAGCGACAGUAGCUAGGAAGCUCACUGUCUCACAAUGAGCAAAUGUCGAUUUUUAGCAACAACUUAAUUAAGCUUAAUCGCUAAUCGGUUAAUACAUUCCAUCUAUUUUCUGCCACCAAUCUGCAUCCGGUUUGCAUUCAUUUAAUUGAUCCUAUCAUUAGGAGUUAUUGAUGUAUACUGCUGGGAUUUUGUGCGGAUGUGUGAUGAAGAUUUUUAAGCCACGUGCUCCCUACUGGUUUCCGUCAUACUUUGCCACUUCAUUGAGUCAAUCCGGUAUGAUUGUGAAACAGGUGGCCAAUUGUAAUUCAUGUGGUAUUCAUUAGGGCUUUUUGACCUGCACCCUACUCUACAGAAACACUUUUCAACAGAAGUGUGCCUUUUUGUUUUACUGUUUACUUUUGCAGAAAGCCCGAUUUUUAAGUUCACACAUAUACAAGUUCAGAGUAUUCACACAGUUGGCCUUACUGCUCCGAAACCACCGCAGACGAUGGGAAUUAUCACUCCACCUCUUUGUCCCCUGCUUGUUUGUGGGGUUGCGUAUUUCGUUUGAACAGUCAGGAUAUCUCAUAAAAAGGUAAUAGAUUUCAUUCCUGUGACAUUUGUAUAAUUUCUUCGCCGUAACUGUGAACCUGCACGGUGACAGUAAAAUCCUAAUCCUACAGGGACAUUUGUCGGGCGGAGAACAUGCUCUUAAAAAUGAAAAGACCAGGAAUGAAUUAUUUGGGCGUAUAACGGCAAGAUUAAAGCUCUUGAGUCUGUUCCCGGAAAUCCAACACAUUCAUCACCUCGCGUCUCUGAAAUGCUGCAGCAGUAACGGACUCGUUUGUUUGUUUUGUCACUUUGUUUCCAACACUAUAUAUAUUUAAGCAAUGAUGCAUCAUUGAUCUGUAUGUGGUAUUAAACAUUGUCAAGUGUUCAAAACUAGACGCACUGGAUUUUAUUUUUGCAGUAGACGAAAUGGCGAAUGUAUCAUCCUUCUUUUGAUCUUGUUUGCUUUGAAGAAAAAGGAUUAUUUGUAUGAACUGUUAAAUCUAGGUAUAUCAUUAUAUUCAGGUACAGUACUUAGAGUUUAAAAAUAGUGUUUGGUCACGUUGCUUCCUCUUCUCCCCAGUGUGAGUUGGUGGCGUAUCUGUUUACAAACCAAUAGCGGGAACCUUUUUAGUGGCUUAACUUAGCAAAGUCCUCCAUGAAGUGGUAUUAUUUCAUUUUUUUGUAAAUGCAAAUGUACCGGAAGAGACUGAAGAAGGAAGCUUUCAAACGGAAGAUCCCUCAAGUGUUUGUAGUGAGGAGAAAUCCACCUAAACGACUCGAUGUAAGACCCCGCUUAUCCUGAUGACUGCACACAAAACUCUCAAUUAUCCUUCAAUAAAUGGGCAUGUGCAUGUA